Molecule: long non-coding RNA, 1155 nt
Organism: Cyprinus carpio (common carp)
Lineage: Eukaryota; Metazoa; Chordata; Actinopteri; Cypriniformes; Cyprinidae
Source: Ensembl
AUGGAUCCCAUUUCCACCGCUAAACCUACCCGUCUCCACCGCCUGGAUCCCAUCUCCACCCCCAAACCCACCCGUCUCCACCCCCUGGAUCCCAUUUCCAGCCCUAAACCUACCUGUCUCCCCCCCCUGGAUCCCAUUUCCAGCCCUAAACCUACCUGUCUCCCCCCCCUGGAUCCCAUUUCCAGCCCUAAACCUACCCGUCUCCACCCCCCGGAUCCCAUCUCCACCCCUAAACCUACCCCGUCUCCACCGCCUGGAUCCCGUCUCCACCCCCUGGAUUCCAUCUCCAUCCCUAACCCUACCCGUCUCCACCCCCUGCAUCCCACCCCCACCCCCAAACCUACCCGUCUCCACCCCCUGGAUCCCAGCUCCACCCCUAAACCUACCCCGUCUCCACCGCCUGGAUCCCGUCUCCACCCCCUGGUUUCCAUCUCCCCCCCCCAACCUACCCGUCUCCCCCCCCUGGAUCCCAUUUCCAGCCCUAAACCUACCUGUCUCCACCGCCUGGAUCCCGUCUCCACCCCCUGGUUUCCAUCUCCCCCCCCCAACCUACCCGUCUCCCCCCCCUGGAUCCCAUCUCCACCCCUUAACCUACCCGCCUCCCCCCCCUGUUACCCAUCUCCACCCCUAAACCUACCCCUCUCCACCCCCUGGAUCCCAUUUCCAGCCCUAAACCUACCCGUCUCCACCCCCUGGAUUCCAUCUCCACCCUUAAACCUACCCGUCUCCACCGCCUGCACCCCUUCUCCACCCCUAAAGCUACCCAUCUCCACCCCCUGGAUCCAAUUUCCACCCCUAAACCUACCCGUCCCCACCCCCUGGAUCCCAUCUCCACCCCCAAACCUACCCGUCUCCACCCCCUGGCUCCCAUCUCCACCCCUAAACCUACCCCUCUCCACCCCCUGGAUCCCCUCUCCACCCCUAACCCUACCCGUCUCCCCCCCCUGGAUCCCAUCUCCCCCCCUAAAGCUGCCCAUCUCCACCCCCUGGAUCCAAUUUCCCCCGCUAAACCUACCCGUCUCCACCGUCUGGAUCCCAUCUCCACCCCUAAAGCUACCCAUCUCCACCCCCUGGAUCCAAUUUCCCCCGCUAAACCUACCCGUCUCCACCGCCUGGAUCCCGUCUCCACCCCCUGGAUCCCAUCUCCACCCCUAA